AUGAACGCUGGCGGCGUGCCUAAUACAUGCCAGUCGAGCGAACAGAUGAGGAGCUUGCUCCUCUGACGUUAGCGGCGGACGGGUGAGUAACACGUGGAUAACCUACCUAUAAGACUGGGAUAACUUCGGGAAACCGGAGCUAAUACCGGAUAAUAUAUUGAACCGCAUGGUUCAAUAGUGAAAGACGGUUUUGCUGUCACUUAUAGAUGGAUCCGCGCCGCAUUAGCUAGUUGGUAAGGUAACGGCUUACCAAGGCAACGAUGCGUAGCCGACCUGAGAGGGUGAUCGGCCACACUGGAACUGAGACACGGUCCAGACUCCUACGGGAGGCAGCAGUAGGGAAUCUUCCGCAAUGGGCGAAAGCCUGACGGAGCAACGCCGCGUGAGUGAUGAAGGUCUUCGGAUCGUAAAACUCUGUUAUUAGGGAAGAACAAAUGUGUAAGUAACUAUGCACGUCUUGACGGUAUCUAAUCAGAAAGCCACGGCUAACUACGUG
Molecule: ribosomal RNA, 496 nt
Filed under: uncultured bacterium
Lineage: Bacteria
Description: partial 16S ribosomal RNA
Rfam family: Bacterial small subunit ribosomal RNA
Source: RNAcentral